This is a long non-coding RNA of Asparagus officinalis (garden asparagus), 854 nucleotides long. RefSeq lists it as uncharacterized. NCBI's taxonomy places the organism in Eukaryota, Viridiplantae, Streptophyta, Magnoliopsida, Asparagales, Asparagaceae. The transcript has 3 exons. The record is from RefSeq and is a predicted model, not a curated record.
CUCUCUCUCAUUUCUCAGUCCCGAUCCCCGACUCUCAAGUUCUCUCUAACAUCUAUCUCUCCUCUCUCAAGUUCUCUCGUCAUCGCAUUCACUCACCACCGUCUGUUCCCUCCUCAGGAUCUCGUCGCCGCCGUCGCCCCCGCUCUCCCCCUCGACGUCGAUCUCAGCUCCGGCGAGGGUUUCGACGUCGUCUCCGUCGCUUUCGGCCAGGUGACACUUCACCACACUAGAUCUGAUCGAAAAGUAUUCUCUUUUGUGUAAUUUUGAGUUCAAUAGUUGACUGAUAGAGUUGUAGCACUAAAUGCUCUCGUCUCUUCCAUCGAAACCCUAAAUCUGACCUAGGGUUUAGGUCCAUGAUCUUCGCGGCUAAAGUUUGAUUUGGUGGGUGGCAUGAAGAGAGGAUUUGAGACAUUGUGGGAGGAGACUACGAUCAGCGAAGAAUUAAAGAUCUACUUUGUCAACUUUUCUGGAUUAUGUUACUUAGGGUUUGAAUUUAUACUUUUGCACAUACUUCCAAUGUCUCACAGGAGAAGAAUAUAUAUCUGAUAUAUUAUUCUUUAUCUGAGGUUGAUUUUGUCACCUUCUUCCUAAGUUCUGUCCUUGAUAAUCUAACAUCAACAAUUGUCAUGGUCUCCUUGUUGUGAAAACUAGUGCCUCCAUCAGAAUACAGAAAGACUCAAUAAAUUCUUCGAGAUAUGAAGUUGGACACAUUGGAGAGAAAGGAGGAGAAGACUUGAAGGAUAAAUAGAGGAUUCUAGAUAUGGUUUCUUUUAAUAGUUUAUGUUGUGGUAAUUUGACUUGUUGUAGCAAAUCAUGAUUAUCAGCUAUCUAUAGCAUGUUGUAUUUUAAAUGAA